CCUACGGGGUGCAGCAGUGGGGAAUAUUGCACAAUGGGGGAAACCCUGAUGCAGCGACGCCGCGUGAGUGAAGAAGUAAUUCGUUACGUAAAGCUCUAUCAGCAGGGAAGAAAAUGACGGUACCUGAGUAAGAAGCCACGGCUAACUACGUGCCAGCAGCCGCGGUAAUACGUAGGGGGCAAGCGUGAUCCGGAUUUACUGGGCGGAAAGGGAGCGGAGACGGUGCGCCAAGUCUGGAGUGAAAUGCCGCAGCUUAACUGCGGAACUGCUUUGGAAACGGGCGAACUAGAGUGCGGGAGGGGUAAGCGGAAUGCCUAGUGUAGCGGUGAAAUGCGUAGAUAUUAGGAGGAACACCGGUGGCGAAGGCGGCUUCCUGGACCGUAACUGACGUUGAGGCUCGAAAGCGUGGGGAGCAAACAGGAUUAGAUACCCGAGUAGUC
Molecule: ribosomal RNA, 440 nt
Filed under: uncultured bacterium
Lineage: Bacteria
Description: partial 16S ribosomal RNA
Rfam family: Bacterial small subunit ribosomal RNA
Source: RNAcentral